RNAcentral lists this ribosomal RNA (1319 nucleotides) under uncultured bacterium. RNAcentral's name for it is "partial 16S ribosomal RNA". It matches the Rfam family "Bacterial small subunit ribosomal RNA", at positions 93 to 1399 of the family's 1533-position model. The record is from RNAcentral.
GAGCGGCGGAUGGGUGAGUAACACGUGGGGAACCUGCCCCAUAGUCUGGGAUACCACUUGGAAACAGGUGCUAAUACCGGAUAAGAAAGCAGAUCGCAUGAUCAGCUUUUAAAAGGCGGCGUAAGCUGUCGCUAUGGGAUGGCCCCGCGGUGCAUUAGCUAGUUGGUAAGGUAAAGGCUUACCAAGGCAAUGAUGCAUAGCCGAGUUGAGAGACUGAUCGGCCACAUUGGGACUGAGACACGGCCCAAACUCCUACGGGAGGCAGCAGUAGGGAAUCUUCCACAAUGGACGCAAGUCUGAUGGAGCAACGCCGCGUGAGUGAAGAAGGUUUUCGGAUCGUAAAGCUCUGUUGUUGGUGAAGAAGGAUAGAGGUAGUAACUGGCCUUUAUUUGACGGUAAUCAACCAGAAAGUCACGGCUAACUACGUGCCAGCAGCCGCGGUAAUACGUAUGUUCCAAGCGUUAUCCGGAUUUAUUGGGCGUAAAGCGAGCGCAGACGGUUAUUUAAGUCUGAAGUGAAAGCCCUCAGCUCAACUGAGGAAUUGCUUUGGAAACUGGAUGACUUGAGUGCAGUAGAGGAAAGUGGAACUCCAUGUGUAGCGGUGAAAUGCGUAGAUAUAUGGAAGAACACCAGUGGCGAAGGCGGCUUUCUGGACUGUAACUGACGUUGAGGCUCGAAAGUGUGGGUAGCAAACAGGAUUAGAUACCCUGGUAGUCCACACCGUAAACGAUGAGUGCUAGGUGUUUGAGGGUUUCCGCCCUUAAGUGCCGCAGCUAACGCAUUAAGCACUCCGCCUGGGGAGUACGACCGCAAGGUUGAAACUCAAAGGAAUUGACGGGGACCCGCACAAGCGGUGGAGCAUGUGGUUUAAUUCGAAGCAACGCGAAGAACCUUACCAGGUCUUGACAUCCCUUGACAACUCCAGAGAUGGAGCGUUCCCUUCGGGGACAAGGUGACAGGUGGUGCAUGGUUGUCGUCAGCUCGUGUCGUGAGAUGUUGGGUUAAGUCCCGCAACGAGCGCAACCCUUAUUACUAGUUGCCAGCAUUUAGUUGGGCACUCUAGUGAGACUGCCGGUGACAAACCGGAGGAAGGUGGGGAUGACGUCAAAUCAUCAUGCCCCUUAUGACCUGGGCUACACACGUGCUACAAUGGCGUAUACAACGAGUUGCCAACCCGCGAGGGUGAGCUAAUCUCUUAAAGUACGUCUCAGUUCGGAUUGUAGGCUGCAACUCGCCUACAUGAAGUCGGAAUCGCUAGUAAUCGCGGAUCAGCACGCCGCGGUGAAUACGUUCCCGGGUCUUGUACACACCGCCCGUCA